This 446-nucleotide ribosomal RNA is filed under the name uncultured bacterium. RNAcentral describes it as "partial 16S ribosomal RNA". It matches the Rfam family "Bacterial small subunit ribosomal RNA", at positions 338 to 795 of the family's 1533-position model. The record is from RNAcentral.
CCUACGGGCGGCAGCAGUCGAGAAUCAUUCACAAUGGGGGAAACCCUGAUGGUGCGACGCCGCGUGGGGGAAUGAAGGUCUUCGGAUUGUAAACCCCUGUCAUGUGGGAGCAAAUUAAAAAGAUAGUACCACAAGAGGAAGAGACGGCUAACUCUGUGCCAGCAGCCGCGGUAAUACAGAGGUCUCAAGCGUUGUUCGGAAUCACUGGGCGUAAAGCGUGCGUAGGCUGUUUCGUAGGUCGUGUGUGAAAGGCGAGGGCUCAACCCGCGGACGGCACAUGAUACUGCGAGACUAGAGUAAUGGAGGGGGAACCGGAAUUCUCGGUGUAGCAGUGAAAUGCGUAGAUAUCGAGAGGAACACUCGUGGCGAAGGCGGGUUCCUGGACAUUAACUGACGCUGAGGCACGAAGGCCAGGGGAGCGAAAGGGAUUAGAUACCCUUGUAGUC